AUGCCUCUGGACUUCACAAAGCACUUCUUCGCGGUGCCGACGAAGUUCAAGCUCAGGAACAACACCGGCUGCUCCUGGAAGGUGACGGUCAAGCUGAUGAACAACGGGGUGACCCUGUAUCAGGGUUGGGCCACCUACGCAGUCGUUCAUCACAUUAAGAUCGGCUACAUGGUGACGUUCAAGCUCCUCACUCCCGACACCCUCGAGGUCAUCAUCUUCGACGAGGAUAACAUUGAGGUCAUCAACAAGGAGUAGGGCCGGGCCACCUCUUUCCAUCGUACUAUCUGA
RNAcentral lists this ribosomal RNA (288 nucleotides) under Triticum aestivum (bread wheat). Its description in RNAcentral is "partial small subunit ribosomal RNA". The record is from RNAcentral. Lineage: Eukaryota; Viridiplantae; Streptophyta; Magnoliopsida; Poales; Poaceae.